Molecule: ribosomal RNA, 253 nt
Filed under: uncultured bacterium
Lineage: Bacteria
Description: partial 16S ribosomal RNA
Rfam family: Bacterial small subunit ribosomal RNA
Source: RNAcentral
UACAGAGACGGCAAGCGUUGUUCGGAUUCAUUGGGCGUAAAGGGUGCGUAGGCGGUUGGCUAAGUCGGAUGUGAAAUCUCACAGCCUAACUGUGAUAGGUCAUUCGAAACUGGCUGGCUCGAGGACUGGAGAGGAGACUGGAAUGGUCGGUGUAGCGGUGAAAUGCGUAGAGAUCGACCAGAACACCGGUGGCGAAGGCGGGUCUCUGGACAGUUCCUGACGCUGAGGCACGAAAGCCAGGGGAGCAAACGGG